RNAcentral lists this transfer RNA (72 nucleotides) under Marmota monax (woodchuck). It matches the Rfam family "tRNA". Rfam says of the family: Transfer RNA (tRNA) molecules are approximately 80 nucleotides in length. Their secondary structure includes four short double-helical elements and three loops (D, anti-codon, and T loops). Further hydrogen bonds mediate the characteristic L-shaped molecular structure. tRNAs have two regions of fundamental functional importance: the anti-codon, which is responsible for specific mRNA codon recognition, and the 3' end, to which the tRNAs corresponding amino acid is attached (by aminoacyl-tRNA synthetases). tRNAs cope with the degeneracy of the genetic code in two manners: having more than one tRNA (with a specific anti-codon) for a particular amino acid; and 'wobble' base-pairing, i.e. permitting non-standard base-pairing at the 3rd anti-codon position. The record is from Rfam by way of RNAcentral. Lineage: Eukaryota; Metazoa; Chordata; Mammalia; Rodentia; Sciuridae.
GGGGAUUUAGCUCAAUGAUAGAGUGCAUUUUUAACAUAUGUGAGGCCCUGGGAUUGAUCCCCAGCACCACCA